AUCAUUACCGAGAGAGGGGCCUCGCGCUCCCGGGGGCUUCGGCCCCCAACUCUUCACCCUGUGUGUACCUACGUUGUUGCUUUGGCGGACCUCGGGGGUCACCCCCGCGCCGGCUGGUUCGGCGAGCGUCCGUCAGAGGCCCCAUUAUAUUCUGUUUAUCAGUGUCGUCCGAGUACCAUAUAUAAUAAAUAAAAACUUUCAACAACGGAUCUCUUGGUUCCAGCAUCGAUGAAGAACGCAGCGAAAUGCGAUAAGUAAUGUGAAUUGCAGAAUUCAGUGAAUCAUCGAAUCUUUGAACGCACAUUGCGCCCCUCGGUAUUCCGGGGGGCAUGCCUGUUCGAGCGUCAUUACACCCCUCAAGCCUCGCUUGGUAUUGGGCCCUCGCCCCCGCGGCGUGCCCGAAAAGCAGUGGCGGUCCGGCGUGACUUCAAGCGUAGUAAACACUAUCCCGCUUUGAAAGUUCGCGUCGUGUCCGGCCAGACAACCCCAUAAUGCUUCAAUAAUUGAC
RNAcentral lists this ribosomal RNA (508 nucleotides) under Flavoparmelia citrinescens. RNAcentral describes it as "eukaryotic LSU rRNA". The stretch from base 194 to 347 matches the Rfam family "5.8S ribosomal RNA". Lineage: Eukaryota; Fungi; Ascomycota; Lecanoromycetes; Lecanorales; Parmeliaceae. The record is from RNAcentral.